This is a long non-coding RNA of Eupeodes corollae, 1053 nucleotides long. RefSeq lists it as uncharacterized. The transcript is spliced from 4 exons. The record is from RefSeq and is a predicted model, not a curated record. Lineage: Eukaryota; Metazoa; Arthropoda; Insecta; Diptera; Syrphidae.
UUUAUAUUCUUUAAAAAUUGCUAUAACUUCAAUAUUUUAGAUAACUUAAGAAAUAUUCAUUGAAAAGUAAAUCUUAAAUGCAAUCUUUAUGAAGAGUUCUUAAAUAAGGUCACAUGAUAAAGCUUCAACUUCAAUAAAAUUGAAAAUUCAAGUCAUCUUUUAACUGCAAUCAUGAUUUAUAAUCGAAAUAAAACCCCUCAAGCACAUGGACCGUUGGCGUUGCAAGAACGAAACAAAAACGAAAAAAGCUUCUCGUGUUGUCUUCACUAUGUUACUAUAUUAUGUAGACACAUGCACGUAUAGUAAGUCUUUUCUAGUUGAAAUGUUUUUGUCGAUUUUUUGGAACAAACGACAUUUAUAAUAUCUUCAUCAUAUUUAUACUUUUUUAUUUUUAAUCCCAUAACAGUCUUUAUAUUUUUCACUACCACCAAUAGCGACAUCCUUAACCUUUAACCAAGCAAAGCCUUACGUAAAGGGAUAUUGAGACUACUAGUAUCCUUAAUUUAUAGUAUAACCUAACCAAACCAAAACCAGUAGCGAAUUAUAACAAAAGGUUUGAACAUUUUUAUUCAAAAAGCAAGUAGCUAGAAGCUAUGAGACCCAUCUGUCCCGUGGAUUUCCCCAAUGAACCAAAGGUAUCUGUACACAUGCCCUCAUCAUCAUCAGAUGUACCUCCUUUUUAUAUAUACAUAUUCGAGAAAAGAACUUUAAGAGUGCAUCAGCGAAAGUUCCCUUAGUCUCUAUGCAAUUCCCACCAUCCUGUUUUGAAAUAGAGAAGCCGUGGCAUCGGGACCGGCAUCAGCAUCGGACCUGGUUGUGACUGUUGCUAGCGGCAUUCGCAGCAGCAGCAACUGAAGAGGGAAGCUGCUUCAUUUGCAUUUCGUAUUCUAUUAGCUCCCCAGUGCACCCAUCGCGAACCACAUGACUUUGUUCAGCACGAACGCGAUAUUCACCCUUGACAGGGAUGUGACUUCUUUAGCAUCUUCAGGUAGCUGUAUGCAAACCUCUGGACUAAGUACUAUGGUCCAAUAUGAACUUUUGAUUGAACAAAUU